RNAcentral lists this ribosomal RNA (1104 nucleotides) under Helopeltis sp. 2 SM-2016. Its description in RNAcentral is "partial 18S ribosomal RNA". It matches the Rfam family "Eukaryotic small subunit ribosomal RNA", at positions 26 to 995 of the family's 1831-position model. Lineage: Eukaryota; Metazoa; Arthropoda; Insecta; Hemiptera; Miridae. The record is from RNAcentral.
AUAUGCUUGUUUCAAAGCUUAAGCCAUGCAAGUCUCAGUACGAACNNUGAAUUAAAGNNUGAAACCGCAAAAGGCUCAGUAAACCAGUCUNNUGAUUCACUUGAAUAUACAAGACUGUCUUUGGAUAACUGUGGUAAUUCUAGAGCUAAUACAUGCAACCAAGUCCCAACCAGUCUCACUGGGAAGGACGCUUUUAUUAGAUCAAGACCAAUCGCUCGGNCUCGUUCGAGCGUUUCCUUGGUGACUCUAGGUAACACAUCAGAUCGCAUGGUCNNAUCGUACCGGCGACUUAUCUUUCAAAUGCCUGACUUAUCAACUUUCGAUGGUAGACUCUAUGUCUACCAUGGUUGUAACGGGNUAACGGGGAAUCAGGGUUCGAUUCCGGAGAGGGAGCCUGAGAAACGGCUACCACAUCCAAGGAAGGCAGCAGGCACGCAAAUUACCCACUCCCGGCACGGGGAGGUAGUGACAAAAAAUAACGAUACGGGACUCUUUNUGAGGCCCCGUAAUCGGAAUGAGUACACUUUAAAUCCUUUAACAAGGACCCAUUGGAGGGAAAGUCUGGUGCCAGCAGCCGCGGUAACUCCAGCUCCAAUAGCGUAUAUUAAAGUUGUUGCGGUUAAAAAGCUCGUAGUUGGUUCUGCGUGCCACGCUGUUGGUUCGCCGCCUGCCGGUGUAACUGGCAUGCCGUGGCAUGUCCUGUCGGUGGCGUGCNNGGGCGCCUUGUCAGGUAACGAUNNNNNNNNNCAGGGCUCUGCUCUUNNNNNNUUCGCGGCCGGAGGUUCAACCCGUUCGCCUACUUCUAUCCUACCUAGGUGCUCUUCACCGAGUGUCGAGGUAGGCCGACACGUUUACUUUGAACAAAUUAGAGUGCUCAAAGCAGGCNUGAAAUUUCUGCCUGAANUAGUGGUGCAUGGAAUAAUGAAACAGGACCUUGGUUCUAUUUUGUUGGUUCUUAGGAACACAAGGNUAAUGAUCAAUACGGACAGGCGGGGGCAUUCGUAUUGCGACGUUAGAGGUGAAAUUCUUGGAUCGUCGCAAGACGCACAAGAGCGAAAGCAUUUGCCAAGUAUGUCUNUGAUUGAUCAAGAACGAAAGUUANGA